This 132-nucleotide small nucleolar RNA is filed under the name Chinchilla lanigera (long-tailed chinchilla). RNAcentral's name for it is "Small nucleolar RNA SNORA51 (ENSCLAG00000019820.1)". It matches the Rfam family "Small nucleolar RNA SNORA51". From Rfam's summary of the family: ACA51 is a member of the H/ACA class of snoRNA that guide the sites of modification of uridines to pseudouridines. The record is from Rfam by way of RNAcentral. Lineage: Eukaryota; Metazoa; Chordata; Mammalia; Rodentia; Chinchillidae.
GGCUUUCUAGUGCUUAUUGCAGGCUGUGUUCUUACACUGACUGUGAAGAAAGGGCAAGUAGCUUAAACCCACCCCUUUUCUACCUCAGCCUAGGUGCUGUGCCUGGUCUCCAUUAUGAAUGAAGAAACAUGA